Molecule: long non-coding RNA, 722 nt
Filed under: Phoenix dactylifera (date palm)
Lineage: Eukaryota; Viridiplantae; Streptophyta; Magnoliopsida; Arecales; Arecaceae
Description: long non-coding RNA (PDAC_LNC017479)
Source: RNAcentral
AGCCAACAACCCAAGUCCAUAAAAAUAUAUACAUAUGCAAACUAUUCUAUAAUGCAUUUUUCAUCAACUUUCAGCCAGACAUGUAACUGCAAACAAACAAAUUUCAGCGAAAAAUCGUACCUUCGAGAUCAAACUAGCAGCAUUUCCACUCAGAAGCGUUCCAGCACGAGCCUCCAUCAAAAAACUUUCCGGUCUCCGGCCACAAAAUCUCGUUCUUGAGCUCAAGCUCCUCAAAGCCCAUCUCAGAUACAUGAGAUCCGAUGCGGUCAAGCCCGGAUCACAAAAUGAUAGAUAGAAGUAAUAAUCCAAUAGAAAAGCAACGAAAUUAUCCUUAUAUUCUCUUUAAAUUUCGUCUCAUUUUCUUCGAUGCUUUUGGCCCAAUUCUCCAGAAACUUCUUUCUCGGCUUUUCUUCCUCUUCUCAGCUCUGCAGAUGGACCUAGCUUCCAAGUUCCAUAAAACAAAAAAACAGAAAAGAAUCAAAGAAUGGAUCGAAAAAUAGUACAAAAAAAAAAAUCCAAGUCAAACAUUAACCAAUCAAAAUCCGAAUCUUCCCCCGAUUUGGCGAUGCUUCCAGCUGUGUGUGUGUGUGUGUGUGUGAGAGAGAGAUAGAGGGAGGGUGUUCGUGGUAAAAGAAGAAGCGGAGAAGACGGGAGAGAAGCGUUGAGGGCGGCGGAGAGGGUGAACGCGACCCCUGCCUCAGGGGUAGUUCUAUAUACACCCC